CGGAACUCAUGAUAAAAGAACUGUAUCACACAGUAACUGUACAAAGAGGUUCAGUAUUCCAUUCUACUGCAAUACCACUACAUGCUGCUAGACGUUACUGGUGAAUUGUGAGACUCAUGAGAAUUAUCUAGAUAAUUGAUAAUUCUCAUUGGGCUGAGUGGAAAUUGUUACUAUCCACUGAAAAGAGUUUCAGUGAUAUUGUUGAUAGUGAUCAAAAUAUAUCUCACUACCAAAUAGAAUAGAACCUAUGGGGUCACACACAUAAGAGGUUGCGAUUAAUCGGAUAGUUAGAUAGCGAUUUUUGAAUCGUCGGAGGAUCUAAUUGUCAAUAUGCUGAUAAUUUGACUAUUUUGUAAUUGUUAUAAAUUAGUGAUAUUAAAGUGUAAAUGUUAUAAGAGAGGACUUACUAACAGUUAGUAAUUAUGAGAGGACUUAUGUGUAAAUGUUGCAUUAAUUAUAUGAUCAAAUUAAGAUAAAGUUCAAGUUGAAUCAAAUUAGGAUUUGAUUGAUCUAACCAAUUAAUGAAAUGAUAAAUUUAAAUAUAGAUUUGUACUUAUCCUUAAUGGUUAUUAUAUUAUUAAAAAAAGGAUUAU
RNAcentral lists this long non-coding RNA (593 nucleotides) under Ananas comosus (pineapple). RNAcentral's name for it is "long non-coding RNA (ACOM_LNC026669)". Lineage: Eukaryota; Viridiplantae; Streptophyta; Magnoliopsida; Poales; Bromeliaceae. The record is from RNAcentral.